Cavia aperea (Brazilian guinea pig) is the source of this 106-nucleotide small nuclear RNA. NCBI's taxonomy places the organism in Eukaryota, Metazoa, Chordata, Mammalia, Rodentia, Caviidae. The record is from Ensembl.
AUGCUCACUUCAGGAGUACAUAUACUAUAAUAUGAAUGAUACAGAGAUGAUUAAAAUGGCCCACUGCAAGGAUGUAACAUGCAAAUUUGCGGUGUGCAAUUUUUUA